GAUUAACGCUAGCGGCAGGCAUAAUACAUGCAAGUUGAACGAGAUAAGUUUUAGCAAUAGAACUUUGAAAGUGGCGCACGGGUGCGUAACACGUAUGCAACCUACCUUUUACUGGGGAAUAGCCUCUCGAAAGAGAGAUUAAUACCCCAUAAUAUAUUGAUAAGGCAUCUUAUUAAUAUUAAAGUUACGGCGGUAAAGGAUGGGCAUGCGGCUGAUUAGGUAGUUGGUGAGGUAAUGGCUCACCAAGCCGAAGAUCAGUAGGGGGUCUGAGAGGAUGUCCCCACACACUGGUACUGAGACACGGACCAGACUGCUACGGGAGGGAGCAGUAGGUAAUAUUGGACAAUGGGCGCAAGCUUGAUCCAGCCAUGCCGCGUGCAGGAUGAAGGCCCUGUGGGUCGUAAACUGCUUUUGUACGGGAAGAAACCUCACUACGUGUAGUGAGUUGACGGUACCGUGAGAAUAAGGAUCGGCUAACUUCGUGCCAGCAGCCGCGGUAA
Molecule: ribosomal RNA, 500 nt
Filed under: uncultured bacterium
Lineage: Bacteria
Description: partial 16S ribosomal RNA
Rfam family: Bacterial small subunit ribosomal RNA
Source: RNAcentral